CCGGAUGAGUGUGAGGGGAGUUUUUAGAAGUUGAAGGAUAAGUUGACUUUGUCUUCAGUUCUGAUUUUGUCGGAGACAAUGAUGGGUUUAUGGUUUAUUGUGAUUCAUCUCAAAUUGGUCUUAGUUAUGUAUUGAUGCAACAUGGGUAGGUGAUAGACUAUGCUUGGAGGCAGUUGAAAGUGCUGACAAAAACUAUGCUACUCAUGAUUUAGAGUUGUUGGCUGCUG
RNAcentral lists this long non-coding RNA (227 nucleotides) under Capsicum annuum. RNAcentral's name for it is "long non-coding RNA (CANN_LNC011202)". The record is from RNAcentral. Lineage: Eukaryota; Viridiplantae; Streptophyta; Magnoliopsida; Solanales; Solanaceae.